Molecule: long non-coding RNA, 539 nt
Organism: Bos indicus x Bos taurus (hybrid cattle)
Lineage: Eukaryota; Metazoa; Chordata; Mammalia; Artiodactyla; Bovidae
Source: Ensembl
AAUAUGGCUUCAUCGAGUUUCUGUUCUUUUUUUUUUUUUACAGUCGUUCCUUGAAACCUGAUUCUUGCACUAUUCUUCCCUGUCCUGGGGCCAAAAUCUUGGGCUAGCAGCACAAUUUUUCCAGUUUUAGUUACAAGAAGAAUCUCCAAGAAGCAAAGACUGGCACAAAGGAGGGAGUGGGAAACGGAGCAAGUCAACUUCUCAGCACCCGCCACAGAGGAAAGUGCUGACCCAGCCAGCAAGGGGCCCUGGGACCCAGCUGACUCCGAAGCAGAUGGCGAUGUGAGGGGCACAUUCAUCACACAGCUACCUGAGCAGCAGAUGAACGAAAUUCCCAGCAAUCCUGUGCUCAGUCUGUAGCUUAAAAAAUACAGCCAUCUUACUUCCUCUCUCUCUCUUUUAAAAUAGGAGCAGAUAUUUUUCAUGUCUCACCCAGAUGCUACUAUUUCUCUGUUAUUUGCACUUGCUGUGUUGAAAUGCAACAGAUGUUUCAAAAGGGUUUAAAUUCCUCAUGAGGGACUCUGACAAAUAAACUGAAC